This 610-nucleotide ribosomal RNA is filed under the name Umbilicaria nylanderiana. Its description in RNAcentral is "partial large subunit ribosomal RNA". It matches the Rfam family "Bacterial large subunit ribosomal RNA", at positions 876 to 1454 of the family's 2925-position model. The record is from RNAcentral. Lineage: Eukaryota; Fungi; Ascomycota; Lecanoromycetes; Umbilicariales; Umbilicariaceae.
GUUUUCUUGUACAACUUGCACUUUUUAAAAGUGCUUUUGUUCACGUUCGGGGGGGUCGUGAAGAUUUUACCUGCAAGUAAUUGUACUCGGAAGGGUUAUGAUGACUAUAUAAUAAUCAGACAUAGUACGCUAAGGUAGUAUGUCUAAAGGGAAACAGCCCAGAACAAGAGUUAAUAAGGUUCCAAAAUUAUUGUUAAGUGAAAAUAAGGAAGUUUCAAUCCAAUAUGACCAGGAGAUAGGCUUAGGCGCGGCCAUUUUUUAAAGACCUCGUAAAAGAGCACUGAGUUAGUAAAUUAUUUUAAUAAUUUAUAUUGAUAAAAGCACCCAAAAUUUAACGGAUCUAAACAAUAUACCGAGACCUUGUCCAUAUAUAUAUAUAUAUAUCUAAGUUGUAUAUUGUAUUUAUGGGGUAGCGGAACAUUGGGCAAAUCUAAGAUUUUUUCUUUAAAAGACUUAAGAUAAGAUAACCCAAGUGAUAAUGCUGACAUGAGUAACGAUAAAGGGAAUGAAAUAUUCCCUCGCCUAAAACUUAUGGUAUUUACUUAAAGUAACGGCCUCUAAGUUUAUGAGCCUAAAGGACUAAACGAUGAGAAAAUCUACCGCUAGAUGC